Molecule: ribosomal RNA, 451 nt
Filed under: uncultured Fibrobacter sp.
Lineage: Bacteria; Pseudomonadati; Fibrobacterota; Fibrobacteria; Fibrobacterales; Fibrobacteraceae
Description: partial 16S ribosomal RNA
Rfam family: Bacterial small subunit ribosomal RNA
Source: RNAcentral
ACGGGAGGCAGCAGUAGGGAAUAUUGCGCAAUGGGGGGAACCCUGAUGCAGCAACGCCACGUGUGGGAAGAAGCAUUUCGGUGUGUAAACCACUGUCGUGAGGGAAUAAUGCUUGAUUUCGGUCAAGUUGAAUGUACCUCGAAAGGAAGCACCGGCAAACUUCGUGCCAGCAGCCGCGGUAAUACGAGGGGUGCAAGCGUUGUUCGGAAUCACUGGGCGUAAAGGGAGCGUAGGCGGAGACGCAAGCAGUCUGUUCAAUCCCGGGGCCCACCCCCGGACCUGCAGCCUGGACUGUGUCUCUUGGAUAGUUCAGGGGCAGGCGGAAUUCCUGGUGUAGCGGUGGAAUGCGUAGAGAUCAGGAAGAACACCGAUGGCGAAGGCAGCCUGCUGGGGACUCAUCGACGCUGAGGCUCGAAAGUGCGGGUAGCAAACAGGAUUAGAUACCCUGGUA